Molecule: long non-coding RNA, 213 nt
Filed under: Elaeis guineensis (African oil palm)
Lineage: Eukaryota; Viridiplantae; Streptophyta; Magnoliopsida; Arecales; Arecaceae
Description: long non-coding RNA (EGUI_LNC045487)
Source: RNAcentral
CUGUGCACGUCAAAACUAUAGAACAAUCAUUUUCUAUUCUGUGUCAUAGUAGUCGACCCCAUGAGUCGACUCAUGUAUAUGAGUCGACCCUAUGAGUCGACCCCUACGAUGAAAAAACUCCAUAACGGCUAGUUUUUCAGCUCAUUUUGGCACAUUUAAUGCUUAUUUAAUGAUUUUCAACGGUUCUAAAACUAUCCAGAUCACUCUCCACCA